Long non-coding RNA from Mytilus trossulus (common blue mussel), 3692 nucleotides. RefSeq lists it as uncharacterized. The transcript is spliced from 3 exons. NCBI's taxonomy places the organism in Eukaryota, Metazoa, Mollusca, Bivalvia, Mytilida, Mytilidae. The record is from RefSeq and is a predicted model, not a curated record.
UUCUGAAGAUCAUGUGUCUGUCAUUUAUUCUGUAAUUCACAUCCUUUAAACAAUUAUAACAGCGUGUAUUAUCUCAAUCUAUCAACUAGGAUACAUUAUUUUAUUUGGCUUAAUAAUAUAUUACUGGUAUUUAGUGCGACCGUGCACCUUUCGGUUGCCUCGAGUGUUUUCUAUAUAGCAAUCUUUAACUCGUCAUGUUGCGGGAUUUUCAAAUUCGAAAAGAAGAAGAACAGCAUGAUUUUCGAUUUGGUGACCGUAUUACUUACAGAUAAUUAUACAAUACAUAACCUUACACAAUCAAUUUACUUUUUAUGAUUAUUCUGAUAUGCAUGCCCCAUAUAUGUUAUUCCCAAAACCUUUAAAAAGGAGGAAUCCGGGUCAGGUCGUGCAAACCCAAUUAUUUUUUAUUGUGAAUAAUUACAAACUGCGCUGAAGUUUUUAAUGAUUAUUGGAUAAUUGACCUGUUCUAUAGGUACAUGUACCUAACUUACCAGGUGACAAUACAAGUUGAACCCUUGACAUUGGUAUAAAUUCAAAUGCUUAGUGAUAUAUAAAAAAGAAGAUGUGGUAUGAUUGCCAUUAUUAUAGGCAUUAUGGACUUUGCUCAUUGUUGAAGGUUUGUACAGUGACCUAUAGUUGUUAAUGUCUGUGUCAUUUUUAGAGUCUCUUGUGGAUAGUUGUCUCAUUGGGCCAAAGGGACAACUGUCCACAAGAGACCAAAAUGGCCAAUGAGACAUGUCCACAAGAGACCAAAAUGACUUAGCUGCGGAACCGUAGCUCAUAGGUCCUUAUGUUAUUUUUGACUAUUUGCAGACCAUAACAUAAGGACUUAUGAGCAUAGAUGGUCCGCAAAUAGUCAAAAAAUAACAUAAGGACCUACAUGUAUGAGCAUAGAAGGUCCGCAAAUAGUCAAAAAAUAACAUAAGGACCUAUGAGCUACAGUUCCACAGCUAAAAAUGACUCAGACAUUAACAGCUAUAGUCACCAUACAGCCGUCAACAAUGAGCAAAAGCCCAUACCGCAUUGUCAGCUAUAACAGGCCUCGAUAAGUACCGAUUAUCAGAUUACAAAUGUAUCUGCAUGUUGAUAUCGUAAAAUAUCAGCUGCAAGACAUCAUAUGAAGCUUUUUGACGAGUGAGCAUAGCGAAGGAGAUCAAAAAGCAUUCAUAUGAUGUCAAGCAGCUGAUAUUUUCCAAUAUCAAUAUGCAGAUAAUCUGAUAAUCAAUUUAUCAGGCUAUAUUUGCGUGUUUCAGAAGUGUCUUCUUUGUUUCACCAGCACACACAAGAUGACUUGAUAAGUUCGGGUCAAAGUUAUUAACGUCGGUUCAAACAUUAUGACGUCGCUGAUAUGUCAGGGUCAAAGUUAAUAAGGCCGGGUCAAUGUAUUUGACGUCACAAAGACAUGAUACGGAAGAAUAUUAAGAGCUGAACAGAGUGAUAUAGACAGUGGGACGACCGAUAAGACAUAUGUAAAACAAUUCAAACGAGAAAACUUAAGAUAUGUGCAUUGUUCAUCAUGUUCAUAUUGAAUAUGAAGAUUAAUAAGAUUAAAGUAAACAAUGUGGUAUGUUUCCAAAAUAAAAGCUAUCCACCAAUGACCAACUGAUGUCGAUGCAAGUACUAGCCAUACAAAUGAUACAUACAUGUUGGUCACCAUACUUCCUUCAUUUAUAUUAUGACUAUUGAGUAAAUUUUUGCAAACAUGGCAAACCUGUACAUGUACAUGCUGUUUAUAUACAUAUUACUACAGUUCAAUGACUCAAGUUUUAAAUGCAUAAGCUUAAGGUCAUAACAGAAUUUAAACUAACUAUCAUAAUUGUAUGAACAUCAUGAUGAAUAUUUACAUUCUCUCAAAGAGUUUUAAUUUUACUUAGCUAAUACAGAAGAUGAUGGAUUCCCCAACAGAAAUCUUGAUGAUCGAACGAUUAAGGUGAAAAAAUUGAAGAAUUGCAUCAAUUGUUACAGAGAAUCGAUUUGCAAGCAGAAACAGAUGCUCAAAGUAAGUAGCUGUUCAUGAUGCUUAUAGGCAUAUAAAAUCUAGUCUUGGCAUGUAAAACAGCAGCUGGUUCUAUUUUGAAAAUCUACAAAAUAGAACUAAGGUCCUUUAAGCCAAGAAACUGCUAGUGUCUGAAGAGGACAAUUUAAGACAGGACAUGAAAAUUGAUUUAAUGUCAAGUUGGAACAGUGAUUCUGUAAAUAAACUCGCCUGAUCACAAGACCUCGGAUUUGACUGAAUCUUACAUGGAUAGACCAAAGUCAUUUACUAGACUGUAAAUAUUAGAGGCAGCUGAAAGCACAAGGCACAAAGCUGAGGUCCAAGUAAAUCAGAGAGGCCUUGUCACAAGAAAUGUACAGAAUUUGCAUGGUUUUUUUCCUUAAGGGUAUAUGACAAAUUAUUGAGAUAUAUGUCAAUGAAAAUUACUUUGAAUUUAAAAAAGGGCCAAUUCAAUGGUACAACUUUCUGUUGACUUUACUAAUUAAUAAAAUGCUGAAUAAUAAUUUGAGUGUGACUCAUUCGAGUGUCUAGUAUUUCCUGUCAAUUUUUUUGAUGAUUUUACCAUAUUAUUUAUAAUCCCUUGGUCAAAGGGAGAUAACUUAUUGUAUUUUCACAUUAAAAUGCUGAUUAAUAAUUUGAGUGUGGCUCAUUCCAGUGUCUAGUAUUUGCUGUCAAUUUUUUGGAUGAUUUUACCAUAUUAUUUAUAAUCGCUUGGUCAAAGGGAGAUAACUUAUUGUAUUUUCACAUUAAAAUGCUGAAUAAUAAUUUGAGUGUGGCUCAUUCCAGUGUCUAGUAUUUAAUGUCAAUUUUUUGGAUGAUUUUACCAUAUUAUUUAUAAUCGCUUGGUCAAAGGGAGAUAACUUAUUGUAUUUUUACAUUAAAAUGCUGAAUAAUAAUUUGAGUGUGGCUCAUUCCAGUGUCUAGUAUUUGCUGUCAAUUUUUUGGAUGAUUUUACCAUAUUAUUUAUAAUCGCUUGGUCAAAGGGAGAUAACUUAUUGUAUUUUCACAUUUAAAUGCUGAAUAAUAAUUUGAGUGGCUCAUUCCAGUGUCUAGUAUUUGCUGUCAAUUUUUUUGAUGAUUUUACCAUAUUAUUUAUAAUCGCUUGGUCAAAGGGAGAUAACUUUUUGUAUUUUCACAUUAAAUCAUCUGCGAAGAGGAUUAUGUAAAAUGUGAAUUGUUGAAAACUAAUUUUAUGGUUCAAUAAAAUCAAAAUAAGUUACUGCCAUUCAUUAUAAAUAAAUUUCUAUCAAAAAUAAGGCUCAAAGACCUUUUUAUAUUACUAAUAUUAACAAUAACAAUGUACACACAUGUUGACGUGUUAAUACACAACGUCAGAGUGGGUGUGUCACCAUAAAAUGUAAACAUUGAAAAUAAAACUGAUACUUUUAACUAAUCAGGAGACAGUUAAUACACCAAAUAUAUUUUUAAACCUAUAUUAAAAAUUUUGAGGUGCCUAUGUUUGCUAUUUGUUAUAAACCUAUUGUUAUGGUUCUUAAACCAUCUAUACAAGUAAGCAUGUUGAUUUGUCACUUACCAUUAUUUUAUUGAUUAGUUUGAAAUUGAUGAGGUUCUUCGAUGUAGAACUGGACUUAUUUAAACAAAAAAUGUAUUUAAACAAAAAAUGUUUUGUUUAUUUGUUUGAUAGUAAAAUUGUAUAACAAACAUUUGACAUUUUAUUUAAUUUAUCAUCAAAACA